This 799-nucleotide ribosomal RNA is filed under the name uncultured bacterium. RNAcentral describes it as "bacterial SSU rRNA". It matches the Rfam family "Bacterial small subunit ribosomal RNA", at positions 8 to 782 of the family's 1533-position model. The record is from RNAcentral.
AGAGUUUGAUCAUGGCUCAGAACGAACGCUGGCGGCGUGCUUAACACAUGCAAGUCGAACGGGAAAAGCUCCUUCGGGAGCCGAGUACAGUGGCGCACGGGUGAGUAACACGUAGGUGAUCUACCUAUCGCUGGGGAAAAACUUCGGGAAACCGGAGCUAAUUCCGCAUACGUCUUUCGGAUUGCGGUCCGAAAGGGAAAGGUGGCCUCUUCAUGAAAGCUAUCGGCGAUAGAUGAGCCUGCGGGUCAUUAGCUUGUUGGUGAGGUAACGGCUCACCAAGGCUACGAUGACUAGCUGAUCUGAGAGGAUGAUCAGUCACACUGGAACUAGAACACGGUCCAGACUCCUACGGGAGGCAGCAGUGGGGAAUAUUGCGCAAUGGGCGAAAGCCUGACGCAGCAACGCCGCGUGAGUGACGAAGGCCUUCGGGUCGUAAAGCUCUGUCGAGAGGGAAGAAACUCCGAUGAGAACAACACCUCGUCGGUUUGACGGUACCUCCAAAGGAAGCACCGGCUAACUCCGUGCCAGCAGCCGCGGUAAUACGGAGGGUGCAAGCGUUGUUCGGAAUUACUGGGCGUAAAGGGCGUGUAGGCGGAUCGAGUAGUCGGGUGUGAAAGCCCUGGGCUCAACCCAGGAAGUGCGCCCGAAACCAUCGGUCUAGAGUUUCGGAGGGGAGCGGGGAAUUCCCAGUGUAGAGGUGAAAUUCGUAGAUAUUGGGAGGAACACCGGUGCCGAAGGGGCCGCUCUGGACGAAUACUGACGCUGAGACGCGAAAGCGUGGGUAGCAAACAGGAUUAGA